UACAGAGGGGGCAAGCGUUGUCCGGAAUUACUGGGCGUACAGCGCGCGCAGGCGGUCUUGGACGUGCCGUGUGACAGCCGUCGGCUCAACCGACGGAGGCCAGGGUACACGACAAGACUGGAGACAGAGAGAGGGAUGUGGAAUACCCGGUGGAGCGGUGAAAUGCGUAGAGAUCGGGUGGAACACCAGGGGCGAAGGCGGCAUCCUGGCUCUGUUCUGACGCUGAGGCGCGAGAGCGUGGGGAGCAAACCGG
Molecule: ribosomal RNA, 253 nt
Filed under: uncultured prokaryote
Description: partial 16S ribosomal RNA
Rfam family: Bacterial small subunit ribosomal RNA
Source: RNAcentral